AUGGAGUACGAGCCGGCAAGGAAUUGCGGCCAGUGCGGCAGGAAGGCGCCGCGGUGGAUAUCCUGGAGUCCGGCGAACCCUGGCAGGAGAUACUAUUCCCGCGUAGAUUCUUGGUCAUGAACCGAACAACAUGGCUUCAUCGACUGGCAUGACGCUCCAACGACAACAUUUGUGCGUGAAUUGCUAGGUGAUCUACGGGAUAAAGUGUGGACGUUGGAGGAUGAGCUUGCUGGUCAGUCAAGGGAAGGAGAGGUUUUGUUCUGA
RNAcentral lists this ribosomal RNA (264 nucleotides) under Triticum aestivum (bread wheat). Its description in RNAcentral is "partial small subunit ribosomal RNA". The record is from RNAcentral. Lineage: Eukaryota; Viridiplantae; Streptophyta; Magnoliopsida; Poales; Poaceae.